RNAcentral lists this ribosomal RNA (2994 nucleotides) under Salmonella enterica subsp. enterica serovar Typhimurium str. LT2. RNAcentral describes it as "bacterial LSU rRNA". It matches the Rfam family "Bacterial large subunit ribosomal RNA". The record is from RNAcentral. Lineage: Bacteria; Pseudomonadati; Pseudomonadota; Gammaproteobacteria; Enterobacterales; Enterobacteriaceae.
GGUUAAGCGACUAAGCGUACACGGUGGAUGCCCUGGCAGUCAGAGGCGAUGAAGGGCGUGCUAAUCUGCGAUAAGCGCCGGUAAGGUGAUAUGAACCGUUAUAACCGGCGAUACCCGAAUGGGGAAACCCAGUGUGAUUCGUCACACUAUCAUUAACUGAAUCCAUAGGUUAAUGAGGCGAACCGGGGGAACUGAAACAUCUAAGUACCCCGAGGAAAAGAAAUCAACCGAGAUUCCCCCAGUAGCGGCGAGCGAACGGGGAGGAGCCCAGAGCCUGAAUCAGCAUGUGUGUUAGUGGAAGCGUCUGGAAAGGUGCGCGAUACAGGGUGACAGCCCCGUACACAAAAGCGCAUGUGCUGUGAGCUCGAUGAGUAGGGCGGGACACGUGGUAUCCUGUCUGAAUAUGGGGGGACCAUCCUCCAAGGCUAAAUACUCCUGACUGACCGAUAGUGAACCAGUACCGUGAGGGAAAGGCGAAAAGAACCCCGGCGAGGGGAGUGAAAAAGAACCUGAAACCGUGUACGUACAAGCAGUGGGAGCACAGGUUUACCUGUGUGACUGCGUACCUUUUGUAUAAUGGGUCAGCGACUUAUAUUCUGUAGCAAGGUUAACCGUAUAGGGGAGCCGGAGGGAAACCGAGUCUUAACCGGGCGUUAAGUUGCAGGGUAUAGACCCGAAACCCGGUGAUCUAGCCAUGGGCAGGUUGAAGGUUGGGUAACACUAACUGGAGGACCGAACCGACUAAUGUUGAAAAAUUAGCGGAUGACCUGUGGCUGGGGGUGAAAGGCCAAUCAAACCGGGAGAUAGCUGGUUCUCCCCGAAAGCUAUUUAGGUAGCGCCUCGUGAAUUCAUCUCCGGGGGUAGAGCACUGUUUCGGCUAGGGGGCCAUCCCGGCUUACCAACCCGAUGCAAACUGCGAAUACCGGAGAAUGUUAUCACGGGAGACACACGGCGGGUGCUAACGUCCGUCGUGAAGAGGGAAACAACCCAGACCGCCAGCUAAGGUCCCAAAGUCAUGGUUAAGUGGGAAACGAUGUGGGAAGGCCCAGACAGCCAGGAUGUUGGCUUAGAAGCAGCCAUCAUUUAAAGAAAGCGUAAUAGCUCACUGGUCGAGUCGGCCUGCGCGGAAGAUGUAACGGGGCUAAACCAUGCACCGAAGCUGCGGCAGCGAACGUAUCACCCAAGACAACUUUACGGAGUUGACGAUUGACGGAGCGAAGCGACGUCAAAGCGUUCAUUAAAGUCGAGUUGGCUUAGGGAUACGUUCGUUGGGUAGGGGAGCGUUCUGUAAGCCUGUGAAGGUGUGUCGUGAGGCAUGCUGGAGGUAUCAGAAGUGCGAAUGCUGACAUAAGUAACGAUAAAGCGGGUGAAAAGCCCGCUCGCCGGAAGACCAAGGGUUCCUGUCCAACGUUAAUCGGGGCAGGGUGAGUCGACCCCUAAGGCGAGGCCGAAAGGCGUAGUCGAUGGGAAACGGGUUAAUAUUCCCGUACUUGGUGUUACUGCGAAGGGGGGACGGAGAAGGCUAUGUUGGCCGGGCGACGGUUGUCCCGGUUUAAGCGUGUAGGUGUGUGUUCCAGGUAAAUCCGGUUCACUUUAACACUGAGGCGUGACGACGAGGCACUACGGUGCUGAAGCAACAAAUGCCCUGCUUCCAGGAAAAGCCUCUAAGCAUCAGGUAACACGAAAUCGUACCCCAAACCGACACAGGUGGUCAGGUAGAGAAUACCAAGGCGCUUGAGAGAACUCGGGUGAAGGAACUAGGCAAAAUGGUGCCGUAACUUCGGGAGAAGGCACGCUGACACGUAGGUGAAGUGAUUUACUCAUGGAGCUGAAGUCAGUCGAAGAUACCAGCUGGCUGCAACUGUUUAUUAAAAACACAGCACUGUGCAAACACGAAAGUGGACGUAUACGGUGUGACGCCUGCCCGGUGCCGGAAGGUUAAUUGAUGGGGUCAGCGUAAGCGAAGCUCCUGAUCGAAGCCCCGGUAAACGGCGGCCGUAACUAUAACGGUCCUAAGGUAGCGAAAUUCCUUGUCGGGUAAGUUCCGACCUGCACGAAUGGCGUAAUGAUGGCCAGGCUGUCUCCACCCGAGACUCAGUGAAAUUGAACUCGCUGUGAAGAUGCAGUGUACCCGCGGCAAGACGGAAAGACCCCGUGAACCUUUACUAUAGCUUGACACUGAACAUUGAGCCUUGAUGUGUAGGAUAGGUGGGAGGCUUUGAAGUGUGGACGCCAGUCUGCAUGGAGCCGACCUUGAAAUACCACCCUUUAAUGUUUGAUGUUCUAACGUGGACCCGUAAUCCGGGUUGCGGACAGUGUCUGGUGGGUAGUUUGACUGGGGCGGUCUCCUCCUAAAGAGUAACGGAGGAGCACGAAGGUUGGCUAAUCCUGGUCGGACAUCAGGAGGUUAGUGCAAUGGCAUAAGCCAGCUUGACUGCGAGCGUGACGGCGCGAGCAGGUGCGAAAGCAGGUCAUAGUGAUCCGGUGGUUCUGAAUGGAAGGGCCAUCGCUCAACGGAUAAAAGGUACUCCGGGGAUAACAGGCUGAUACCGCCCAAGAGUUCAUAUCGACGGCGGUGUUUGGCACCUCGAUGUCGGCUCAUCACAUCCUGGGGCUGAAGUAGGUCCCAAGGGUAUGGCUGUUCGCCAUUUAAAGUGGUACGCGAGCUGGGUUUAGAACGUCGUGAGACAGUUCGGUCCCUAUCUGCCGUGGGCGCUGGAGAACUGAGGGGGGCUGCUCCUAGUACGAGAGGACCGGAGUGGACGCAUCACUGGUGUUCGGGUUGUCAUGCCAAUGGCACUGCCCGGUAGCUAAAUGCGGAAGAGAUAAGUGCUGAAAGCAUCUAAGCACGAAACUUGCCCCGAGAUGAGUUCUCCCUGAGACUUAGAGUCUCCUGAAGGAACGUUGAAGACGACGACGUUGAUAGGCCGGGUGUGUAAGCGCAGCGAUGCGUUGAGCUAACCGGUACUAAUGAACCGUGAGGCUUAACCUUAC